CACGUAGGGGGCAAGCGUUGUCCGGAAUCAUUGGGCGUAAAGAGCUCGUAGGCGGCUCGGUAAGUCGGGUGUGAAACCCCCAGGCUCAACCUGGGGACGCCACCCGAUACUGCUGUGGCUAGAGUCCAGUAGGGGAGUGUGGAAUUCCCGGUGUAGCGGUGAAAUGCGCAGAGAUCGGGAGGAACACCCGUAGCGAAGGCGGCACUCUGGGCCGGUACUGACGCUGAGGAGCGAAAGCGUGGGGAGCAAACAGG
RNAcentral lists this ribosomal RNA (254 nucleotides) under uncultured bacterium. RNAcentral describes it as "partial 16S ribosomal RNA". It matches the Rfam family "Bacterial small subunit ribosomal RNA", at positions 524 to 776 of the family's 1533-position model. The record is from RNAcentral.